CCUCAACAUACUCCCCAAAUUUGUCACAAAACCAUUUCUGGAGUCUUGAACAUACUGUGUGACUUCGUUUAUCUGCUCCAUUGGCCUGUGUCUGUGGCUUCGCAGGUUGUUGAGCUGCAGACACCUCUUCAGCUCUUGCUUUAAGUACUUCAUUGACUUUUUGUUCUAGUUCUAGCCUCCUCUGUCGUUCCUUCUCUAGCUCUUGCCUUAAUGUUUCAGCAUUCGUUUCUUCUCUCAGCUUCCUGAGUUCCUCCUGCAAAAAGUGUUUUUCCAGUAAGGCUAUUUCCAGGUGACCUUUGAUUUCAUUCAGUCUGUCAGACUCCGUUCUGU
This 330-nucleotide long non-coding RNA is filed under the name Gallus gallus (chicken). The record is from RNAcentral. Lineage: Eukaryota; Metazoa; Chordata; Aves; Galliformes; Phasianidae.